CAUAGCUCAACUACCAUUAAGGUUUUCUCUUUAUCUUUGGUGUUUGGCAGUUUAAAUGUAAUGUGCCUGAGUGUGGUGUUCUCUGGAGCUCUUUGGCUUAGUGUUAAUUGAAGUUCUUGGUCAAUGGAGUAGUGUCUGUCAUCAGGUCUUCUAAUUCCUGGCAAUUAUCCUUGAAGUUCAAGUUAGCCAGCAGUUACUGAGUUUGGGAAACAUGGAGAAGAAUACCAAUUUUUAACUUACUAGCAACUGUCUCUUUCAGUUGGGUUAACCCUUAAAUAACAUGAAACAAGAGUUAAAGAGACAGACCCUUCCUCAAGGAGACAUACAUUAAAUCAACAAGUGGAAAGUCACGGACGGUUUUAUCACCUCGAAGGAUGGGCAUUUCUGGUUCCACCUACUGUUCCAGCAUCAUGCUGAGCCAACUUGUGGGCUGAGAUGAGCACUCAGAUGAGAACUCCAAGCAGACUUCUCAACACAUGCCUGUCAAGUUUGCAACCAGUCAGAUAUGGAAUUGUGUUUUCCCAGACAGAAGUGGAAAGUUACUCCUACCUCAUAGAAUUGUGUACUCAAGGCUCCCAGAGGCAUCCCAACAAUCCACAAGAUCUACUCACCCAUCAGUUGGAAAGACUGUAGUUAUAGGCUGAGGACCACUCAACAAUCACUAUUACUUAUCGCAGGCUAUCUGAGGGGGGGCACAUUGCGCUUCACAAGAUGCCAUCUGGUCUAUUUCUGGUACCGGCUCACCAGAGAGCAGAGGCUAGGUUUUGAGGCAGCAUACAGAACAGGAUGCAAAUGUCAAGUUCAGCCCUGCCUCCACUGCUGGCAUUCCUGCCCUCAACCUGACUUUGGAGAGUGUGUGUGGAAACAAAAAGACUGUAACUACAAGGUAUGGGAAGGAAACCAUUCCUUGUUCUCCAUGUGUGUGCCCUCCAUGAAUGGGUACUGUGAAUGGACCCGCAUCCAGAUGAACUAUCCGUACCAAACCUCGGCUCCAGUGACCUCUGUUCACUAGGCCCGAAAUCAUAUAAUAGAGUUUAAUAUUCUGUCUCCUGGUCUGGCUGCUGUUAACAGAACUGAGUUAGUUUUGUACACCUCCACUAAAUUGUACACUUAAGUUUUGUUUACUUUCUGUAAGUAGUGUACGCAUCAAUAAAACUUACAAAAACGAAUCCCAAGUUGAUAAACCACCCUGAUGACAAAUUCCCUUUAUCUUCUCUGUUCAUCAAUUAUCUUUUAUUUCUUCUUCAUCCAGCAACCUCAUGCCAGACUCUAAUCCUUCUUAUUCCACAAUUCCUGACAUUUCCUCAUCCUCUCAAAGCAAGAGCCCUGGGUCCAAACAAAGGGACAGAUCCAGAUCCAAUCUGACCAGGGUCACACUCCAUCUGACACACCCUUAACCUUCCCCAGAUGAUUUGCAGAACCAUAAAUCACAGGAGAAAGGAUAUUCCUUGUUCCCACAGAAUUAAGACUCACUUGCAAAUAUAAACAUUGUUCCUUGUCAUAUUAAAAUUCUGAAAAUAAAAGACUUUUAAACUUUUAUAAGAACACAAAAGGCAAUAUUUUUAGGACUUCAAAUCACAAAAGUUCCAAAAUAUAUGAAGGAAAAUGUUGAUAAAUUCCACUACUCUAAAAUAAAAUAUCUUUCCCCAAAUAAACCAAAGUACCAUAAACACUAUA
This is a long non-coding RNA of Neofelis nebulosa (Clouded leopard), 1677 nucleotides long. RefSeq lists it as uncharacterized. The record is from RefSeq and is a predicted model, not a curated record. NCBI's taxonomy places the organism in Eukaryota, Metazoa, Chordata, Mammalia, Carnivora, Felidae. The transcript is spliced from 8 exons.